This is a long non-coding RNA of Gallus gallus (chicken), 1284 nucleotides long. NCBI's taxonomy places the organism in Eukaryota, Metazoa, Chordata, Aves, Galliformes, Phasianidae. The record is from Ensembl.
AUUCUUUCACUUGGAUUUAGUAGGACAAGGCUGGCACAGAUACCUGUGCACAGAGAAGGCUUAGAAGAGCCCAGAGGCAUUUCCCUGAUGCCCACUUUGAAGCACCUACACCUCAGAGGUCAGGGGUAAUAGUCACACUUUCUUCUUCAUGCCUUGGUUAUCCAAGUCUCCAUGCAGAGCUUUAGAUGUCAUGAAUGCUGAAUUUGUCUGCGAUCAACAUACCACAACACCAAUCAGUCCUGUGGCACAAAUGGAAGUAAAUUAUUACCUUGCUCACCGUACAGAAAGUAAGGAACUGAACUUCAUGACUGGUUACGAUUUCUGCAAGACUGAACACACGCUUUGCUGUACGGCCAGAUGAAAACAGUUGCACAGCCGAGCCUCCCUCCGCUCCAACAGUUGUUGUUUCAAAUACAAUCAUUUUCUCAAAACAUCUCCCAGACCAGAGCUGGAAACCUGAACAACUUAGAGUGCAAGGAGGGUCUCUCUGUGGUAUUAUGUACAUAACUGCCUUUUCACUUGGCUGGUAACUUGAUGCUUUAGGCUUCUAAGUCCAACCUCAGUGGCUGAAAGUACAGUAAUCUCCAUUGCACUUGACACAGCAUGGCAGAAGGGCCUCCAGUUCUGCUGCAGUCUUCAGAAAGGCUUCUGUUGUUGUGAGGGCUUCUGAAGCUCCCUUGGAGAACCCCAUGGUCACUUUUGGUCACGUCACGUACAUAAAAAAAAUGAAUUCAAUAAUUCCAAAUAUUUUAUGUACUUCUGUAGCCAAAUGAUACAUACUAACUAUAAAGAUAUAGAAAAUGUGAUAAUAAACUAGAAAAAGACGUUUUACAGGGAGAGUAUCAGAAAUGAAAACUAUUUCCACACUUCCAGCUUUACUGUUGUCACUAUAUCUUCGUAUCUUAAUCGUUUACUUACUUUUGCUACUUCACUAUCACUUCAUUACCAUCCUUUCCAUCUCAUCUCCCCCCAAAAUUUCAAAGACACCUCAGGAGAAUUUGGAUUCAGAUCCAAUACAGCUGAUUCCCUUCUCCCCUUGCGCUCAUUAGAACUAGAAUGAUGAAUAUCAGUGCCCCAGGCUGUGGUGGUAUUUGGAUUGCAGUGGAUUUCAAACCUGAAUAUCCGGUUGAAGAUUUUUAGGACUAUCUGGGGGCAUCUGUCUCAGUUCCAGCUUUCAGAUUUUAGCUCAACACAAACCUCAUGUAUUCUUAGCACCAAGUUAUUUCAGUAACAUCCUUGGAAAAAGGAAGGGCAUUUUAACGGGCUUUUAAAUUUCUUCCUUGG